RNAcentral lists this long non-coding RNA (450 nucleotides) under Glycine max (soybean). RNAcentral's name for it is "long non-coding RNA (GMAX_LNC004753)". Lineage: Eukaryota; Viridiplantae; Streptophyta; Magnoliopsida; Fabales; Fabaceae. The record is from RNAcentral.
AAAGUGGAAAUGACAAAUUAAAUUAAAGAACCUCAGCUGAAAUUAUUUCACUACGGUAAUUAGUAAUCAAGCCAAACUUGAAGAAAGUCAAUUCUAGCUCUACUCUCAAGACAAAAUAGAAACACAACUAUGUGAAGGCUUUUCACUACAAUACUUAAGUGUUAUACCAUCCCACACCAAACCAAUUUUUUGAUUGAUGAAUGUUAUCAUAGUCACAUAACAAAUUACUCGCUGCACUGGAUCCAUUUACCCUAACAUAAACCUUUGUUGACUGGUAACUUCAAAUACUCGGUAUAAUUAGUGGAAAUGGCAAACAAAAAUAGUGAAACUUAGAAGGCUUUAUUCCAUUAUAGUAAUGAGUAACUGCUAAGAUCAAAUCAGUCAAUUGUGAUCUGGCAUGCAAUAAUUUUCUACACAACCAACAAUAUUUGUAGCAGCUUAAGAAGUUUU